Molecule: non-coding RNA, 7036 nt
Organism: Sus scrofa (pig)
Lineage: Eukaryota; Metazoa; Chordata; Mammalia; Artiodactyla; Suidae
Source: RefSeq, a predicted model, not a curated record
CCAUUAUGGUUUAUCACAGGAUACUGACUGUAGUUCCUUGUGCUAUAGAGUAGGGCUUUGUUGUUUCUCCAUUCUCUAUAUAAUAGUUUGCAUUGGCUAAUCCCAAAAUCCCAAUCCAUCUCUUCCCAACUUCCCCCAUCCUUGGCAACCACAAGUCUAUGCUCUAUGUCUGAGUCUGUUUCUGUUUCAUAGAUAAUUUCAUUUGUGUCAUAUUUUGUUUCUGGCUGCACCUACAGAAAGUGAAAGUUCCCAGGCCAGGGAUUGAACUCACGUCGAAGUUGCGACGUGAGCUGCAGUGAUGACAUUGCUGGAUCCUUAACCCACUGUGCCACCAGGGACACUGUGCCUCCUAGUUGUGUUAUAGUUCAGAUUCCACAUGUAAGUGAUAUCAUAUGGCAUUUGCCCUUCUCUUUCUGACGUACUUCACUUAGUACGAUCAUCUCUAGCUCCAUUCAUGUUGCCGAACAUGGCAUUAUUUCAUUCUUUUUUAUGGCUGAGCAUUCUAUUGUGUGUGUGUACGUGUGUGCAUGUGUGUGUGUGUGUGUAUACUUUAUCCAUUCAUCUGUUGAUGGAAAACAUUUAGGUUGUUUGCAUGUCUUAGCUAUUGCAAUAGUGCUGCAAUGAACAUUGGGGUGCUUGUAUCUUUUUGAAUUAUAGUUUUGCCUGCAUACACGUCCAGGAAUGGGAUCAUACGGCAACUCUAUUUUUAGUUUUUUUGAGGAAACUCCAUACUGUUUUAUACAGUGGCUGUGCCAGUUGACAUUCCCCAACAAUGUAGGAGGGUUCCCUUUUCUCCACACCAUUUAUUUUAUAGACUUUUUAAUGAUGGCCAUUCUGACCUGUGUGGAGUGUUACCUCAUUAUAUUUUUGCUUUGCACUUCUCUAAUAAUAGUGAUGUUCAGCAUAUUUUCAUGUGCUUAUGACCAUCUAUAUGUCUUCUUUGGAGAAAAGUCUAUUUAGGUCUUCUGCUUGUUGUUUGACUGUUUUGUUGUUGUUGUUAUUACUGAGUUGUAUGAGCUGUUUGUAUAUUUUGGAAAUUAAGCCCUUAUUGGUCGCAUCAACUGCAAAUAUUUUCUCCUAUUCUGUGGGUUUCCUUUUUAUUAUUUAAUUUGCUGUGCAGAAGAUUAUAAGUUUGAUUAGAUCCCACUUGCUUAUUUUUGCUUUUAAUUAUAUUGCCUUUGGAGACUGACCUAAGAAAACAUUGGGAGUUCUUGUCAUGGCUCAGCGAUAACAAACCCAACUAGCAUCCAUGAGGACUCAGUUUCGAUCCCUGGCCUUGCUCAGUGGGUUAAAGAUCCAACAUUGUGGUGAGCUGUGAUAUAAGUCACAGAUGUGGCUGGGAUCACACAUUGCUGUGGCUAUGGUGUAGGCUGGCAGCUACAGCUCUGGUUUGACCCCUAGCCUGGGAACUUCCAUAUGCUGUGGGUGUGGCCCUAAAAAGGCAAUAAUAAUAAUAGUAAUAAUAAAGAAAACAUUGAUAGGAUUUACAUCAGAGUAUUUUGCCUAAGUUCUCUUCUAACAGUUUUAUGACAUCUUUUUUUUUUCUUUCUUUCGUCUUUUGUCUUUUUUAGGGCCACAACUGUGGCAUCUGGAGAUUCCUAGGCUAGGGGUCUAAUCGGAGCUAUUACUGCUGGCCUACACCAGAGUCACAGCAAUGCCAGAUCUGAGCCGAGUCUGCGAUCUACACCACAGCUCAUGGCAACACCAGAUCCUUAACCCAUUGAUCGAGGCCAGGGAUCGAACCCGAAACCUCAUGGUUCCUAGUUGGAUGGUUUCCACUGUGCCACAAUGGGAACUCCAAGUUUCAUGAUGUUUUAUAUUUAAGUCUUUAAGGCAUGUUGAAUUUAUUUUUGUAUAUGGUGUGAGGGUGACUACACUAUUGUUACCUGACUACUCCUCCUUCGUUUCAGGAUCCCCUCCCUUCCCUGAUUAGCAACUGUUUGAAUCUGCCCUUUGAAGCUCAGAGAGAUCUAGGAGGCUGAAUGAAGCCUCUUUCCUGCAAAGGAGAAAUGGGGGACACAGAAAGGACUUGUACCUGGGAGGGCCUCACAGGGUCGUCCUGCUCAGUUUCACUACUGCUGUAAAGGCUGGAUGGAUGCAAUUGUUCCUGCAAACCAAGAACCACUGAUAAGUGUACUGAGCCCCUCAGAACCGAAAGACUAAAAGGAAGUCUUGGAUAUAGAACAAUUGUCUUGCUGUGUAACCAGCACCAGUGGCACUUAUUGCUGUUGCUAUAUUAUAUGUUUUUCUUGCAAAACUGCAGAUUGGAAAAUACUAUCACUUUGGGUCCUGGAAAUGUCCCUUAGCAAUUGGAACCUGUCACUACUGGAAACACCAAUGGCAGAGACGUUCAGGGUCUUGUGAAGAUUAGGUACAAAUCGUGACUCUUAACUGUUGUCAAUAAACAAUGCUAACAAGCUAGUAAAGACUUUCCUGAAAUUCCUUGAACCCAUGUGUUCAGAGCAAGAUUAUAAUCAUAUGUAUCAUGCCUGGACUAGGGAAAAGGCUUCUGGGUAGAUCUUUUACUUAAUAAAAUAAUUCAGGCCAAUUCUAGUCUUGCUAGAAUUAACCCUUGAACAGCCUGAGAAAUAAGAUGGCCUGGCAUGGAGAUUUGACAUUAGAUUUGGGAUGGAUUGUUUUUUCAAAAGUCAGCAGCCCUUCAUAGAGUGACUGAUCCAUUAACAGAUGCAGCUUUUAGAGGUCCCUUUGUGGCACGAUAGGAUUGCAGUGUCUCUGCAGUGCCAGGACACAGGUUCGAUCUCUGGCCUGGCACAGAGGGUUAAAUGAUCUGGCAUUGCCACAGCUGCAGUGUUGGUCCCAACGGCAGCUCAGAUCUGAUCCUUGGCCUGGGAACUCCAUAAGACAUGCGUGUAGCCAAAAAAGAAAAAACAACCCCCCAAACAGAUGCAGCUUUUAGAUCACACUGUUGCUUGCAUAUCCAUUGCGCAGCUAUGACUGUAUCUAUGCAGAGAGAAUCCAUCAGGAGCAUCCUGGGACUUGAAGGACAUAGUUGUGAAUUGUUCAUUUAAAUGCAAAUUAGAUUCACCAGCUGUUGCUGCUACUAGUAUUAGCAACCCUAAGGAGAUAUUUUAUCCUAGCAACCACAGAGGAUAUAGAUAACAAAUUUUAUUUUUAUGAAGAAAAAAAAUGGUCAGAAAGCAUAGGAGCAACCUUUCAUUCAAAUUCACCUAUUUCACAACAGAAAUCCUUUUAAGCAGAAUUUUAAAAAGCCAUAAUCAAUUGCUUCAAAAGAGUUUGCAUAAUAACUAUCAUUACCAUAUGGGUGAAGUCAGCAUUCUAUAAUAAUAUUUGGUAGGUUCUAUUUUAGGCAGUGAUUUUAUUUUAUAUGUUAACAAAAACUGUAUGAGUGAGUCAAUAAUUUAACCUUCAGCUUAAACUUGUCAAUGUUGAUAAAGCCAAAUAUGCAUGACUGUCUUUAAUUUAACCAAAAUUACUUUUAGAUUGUUAACUUGGUCUUCUAUUUUACUUGGCAAAUAUUUAUUUCAUUGCCAAUAGUCCCCUUGGAAAAUUUAUCAUCAAAAUAUUUGAAAACAUUUUGCUUUCUGACAGACUUGAACUCUAGAUGGAACAGGAGAGAAAAGAACAGAUAUAACCUUUCAAAGAAUGAUGUAGCCAUUGAGGAUACAACAAAAAUUGGUUAGAACUAUUGGCCCAAGAUGGUGGAAGAUUUGACUUCCAGUAGACCUCGAGCCUCCUUAUACCUUCAUUGUGAUGUGUUAACAUGCUAAAUUACAUGUUCACAGGUGCCAUUGCAGUUCAGAGGCUAACCCGGAAGACCAAAGGUGGUGCCCCAAUUCCUGGAAAUCUCCACUGCUUCUCCAAAAUCAUUGAAAUAAUCCUCCCACUAAUUAGUGUAUGAAAUAGCCCAGCCCAUAGAAAUGAACCAACCCAUAUUUAUGGAUUGCAUACUGUUUAUGGAAUGUGUAUCUCUCUCAGUGAACCUACUUUCACUUUACUAUGGCUCACUCUUGAAUUCUUUCUUGUGUGAAGCCAAGGACCCCCACUUGGUGGCCCAUCCCAGGACCUUGACUGAGACCUGGGACAUGACUACCCUGUUGCGUCCCAUUUUCCUGCAACAUCUUGACAAAGGAAGAAGAAGAAAGUGGUCUUUUCCCCUUCCCCAUUUUGCUUUGAUUAUAAAAACAUAGCCUGGGAUUCCUGUUGUGGCUCAGUGGGUUGAGAACACAACAUUGUCUCUGUGAUGAUGCAGGUUCGAUCCCUGGCCUUGCUCAGUGGUUAAGGAUCUGGUGUUGCUGCAAGCUGCUGCAAAGGCCCCAGAUGUGGCUCAGAUCUGGUAUUGCUGUGGCUGUGGCGUAGGCCUGCAGCUGCAGCUCUGAUUCGACCCUAGGCUGGGAACUUCGAUAUGCUGCAAGGGAGGUUAUAAAAAGAAAAAAAAUGUAGCCACUUAGUUCUCAGGGCAAAGCCCUCUUGCCUGCCCACUUUAUCCUUCACAAGUGUCCUAUGCUAAUAAAUCUACUUCUUACCCAUCGCUUUGCCUUUCACUGAAUUCCUUCUGCCCUGAGACAUAAAGAACCUGACUUCAUUAAGUCCUGAGAUGAGUUGUUCAUUUUCAUUGACAUGUAGGAUUGAUUCUCUCUCAUCUUUCAUAGCAUGUUCUUAGUAGAAAUUUACUGAAUUAAAUACAAAUAUCAUUUGAUUUAGUAUCAUGCUUUAUCACUUAACCACAUCCAGAAAACCUCAUUUUCGGUAGUCUAAGGCUUAAUCAUUGUAAUUUCAACAAAUGAUAUUUAGGAAUUUUCUAAAAAGGAUAAGUAUGUGCAAAAAUCCUUUUAAAAAUGUCUAGAAAUAUUUUUGUGAAUAUAUUUAAACAUAUUUCAUCCUUUAAUAUCUUGAUCCCAUAGCAAAACUCAGACAGAUAGAAAGGCAGGUAGGUAGGCAGGUAGAUAAAUGGAAAUAUUAUUUUUCAAGAGUGUUUCACCAUUUUGGAAUUUUCUUAAAGGCCUAAAUGGAAAACUCUAUUAUUUGAUAAAAUAAGUGUUUUCAAAAUUAAAUAUAUUCUAAACCUGCAACACAAUAUCACUAUUAGAUAUUUUCUAGAGCAUGUCAUUGCUCUGGGUCUCUGUUUUUGUUUUUAAUAUGAAGUUAAAUCAAUGUUCAAGAAUCUCCAUAAUUUUGUUGUGAUAAAAAUAUAAGUGGCUUAUCACAAUUUCUCAGUUAUCCAUGCUGUUGUAAAAAAGCCUCCAUUAUUGAUCCAAUCAUAGUCUUUUUUUUUUUUUUUUUUUUUUUUUUGCUUUUAGGGCUGCACCUGCAGCAUAGGGAGGUUACCAGGCUAGGGGUCCAAUCAGAGCUACAGCUGCCAGCCUGACACAGCCACAGCAACACCAGAUCCGAGCUGCAUCUGUGACCUACACCACAACUCAGGGCAAUGCCAGAUCCUUAACCCCCCGAGCAAGGCCAGGUAUUGAACCCGCAUCCUAGUGGUUCUAGUGGGAUUCUUUCCCACUGCGCCACAACAGGAACUCCAAAUUGUAGUCUUUUAAUUAAUAUUUUUUCAAGCCCAAGUUGUUAUUUUUAUUGUCAAGUUGUUAUCAAAUAAAAUUACUGGUUUAGUUUGACUUUUUUUUUUAUCCUAUCAGCCUUAAAUGAGUGACAAAGAAAAAUUUAAGAGAAGGAAAUAAAGGAUUUAUGUAAUUCACAAGUGAAAAUAUAAUCUGACCAUUCCCUGAAUGACUGAGGCAUAGAUAUGUAAAUGGGGACUAAAACAAGUCUCAGUGGUGAGAACCAAAUGAUACUGGAACAGAUUUUCCAUGUCUUCAGAGCACAUAAUCAAUCCCUUUGGGAAAUGUCAUUCUGGCUGUGUUAAGGUGUACCUGCCCCUGCCAGUCCUGAGGGUUUUGAGAUUCUCACAUUUAAGUCCUUUACAGUCAGAUGCACCAACUUCCAGAGCUGAUUAUUAGUUUCAAGAUUAUCCAGGCUGACAAGCUUGUUCUGUAGUCACAUCGUUUUGAGAAACACUGGCUAGAUCAUUCUAAAUAAGUCUGCUGUAGGACUUGUUAUUGGGCUAAAGUGUUUGUAGAACCUCUAAGAGAAGGAUAGAAUAUACAACAAAGGCAUAUAGUGUUUUUCAGAACUUAUAUUUUCUACAUAAUUCAACCACUUUUUUUCUUUUUUUGAGAGAGAGCUCAUUGUCCCUGUGUUCCAGAGGUGUGCUGGAGCUGGCUCCUUCUGGCUCCUGAAAGCCAGUUGUGUGCAUCACGUCCCACCUCCUCAGUGAUGUCCUUUAUUCUGGAAGCUAAAUGAAGAGACUGUUUCCAGGAAAAGAAAGUGAUCAUCCAUGUCAUGUGCUGCUGAUAUGUCAACGAAAAUGAGAACUGAAACUCAGCCUCUGGAUUUAGCAGCGUGAAGAUCAUUCACUUGGAGGAAAGCCAGCUGUCAUGUCAUUAGCUCGGGUAUUGAACAACUGAAACCUCCUGCCAACAGAUAUGUAAGUGAAUUUGGAGGCAGAUUCUUCAUCCCAGUCAAGCCUUCAAAUGACUGCAGCUCGAAGUGACAUCUUGACAGUAACCUCGAGAGAUUCCCUGAACUAAGCUGUUUCCUUGGACAUGAUGUGAGAUAACAAAGAGUUAAGAUACUAAGUGUUGGAGUAAUUUGUCAUUCAGCAAUAGAAACCUAAUACAUAUUUUGUAUUUUCUUUUGUCUUGAUCAAAACACAAGUGCCCCGAGGACUUUAUAAACAGUCAUAGUGGCCAUGUAGCUUAACCAAGCCACAAGCAUUUUAUGAGAAAAAAGCAAUAUGAAAAAUUUGAGAAUUAAAAUAAGUAUUCUAGGGAGUUCCCAUUGUGGCUCACAGGGUUAAGAACCCAACACCAUCUCCAUAAGGAUGUAGGUUUGAUCUACGGCCUUGCUCAGGAGUUCAAGGAUAUGGCAUUGCUGCAAGCUGCAGCAUAGGUUGCAGAUGCAGCUUGGAUCUGGUGUGUGGCUGUGGUUUAGGCCAGAAGCUGCAGUUCUUAUUCAGCCCCUAGCCUGGGAACUUACAUAUGCUGCAGGUGCAGCC